RNAcentral lists this long non-coding RNA (484 nucleotides) under Canis lupus familiaris (dog). RNAcentral's name for it is "lncRNA (ENSCAFG00000057631.1)". Lineage: Eukaryota; Metazoa; Chordata; Mammalia; Carnivora; Canidae. The record is from RNAcentral.
ACUGAAUCCUAGCAACCACAUUCUGAAAAGCUGUCUUACCUUCAUUUUAUAGGGAAACUAAAGCUCAGAGAAGGAACUUUCCUAAAGUCCACAGGAGUAUCACAUCUACACUCAGGUCCCCUGACUUCCAAAUCUGGAUUAUUACAAAGAAAUCCCAGGAUGGAAUUGUGAAGGGAUGUGUCUGCAGCCGGUGAGGAAGCCCAGGCACACAGAAUCCUGCAGACCUCCCCAGCCCCUCCGCAUCCACAGAGAGCACUCAGCUACCGCCGCCGCGUCCUGCCCACUCAGUCACCUCGGCUUCCCACAACCAAGUGCAGAAACAGGCCCGAGCUACAAGAGCUGAAUUAACAAGAACAAGCUGGCAGCAGGGGACAGGAGACUUCUGUACCAAGAUGGUGGCACAAAGUUAUGCCUGCGGUACCUACCCAGCCCUCACCUGCUGAUCAAAAUACUCCUUCACCUUCUGAUCAAAAUACUCAAGGAG